UUGAUAUUUAAACAAAGAAUGUUUCUUUUGUGUAUGUACUUAAAAGCACUAUAUAUUUAGUAUUGUGACAAUACAAAACUAUCUCAAAUUGAAUUUGAAUUCUCUUCCUCUACACUCUCUAGACAUCUAUUUCUCUCACCAAUAUAUGCUAGGUUUCCAAGCAUGAUGAUACCUUUAGACAUGGAUAUGAUUUACCACAUGAGCAUAACAAGGGGUGUUCGAAACCCCUUCGUCAAUGAGAGACUAAGAUAACUUCAUUGGAUUUGAUAAAGCAAGCAAAAUUUAGACCAUGAACAAUAGCUUACAUUUUAACCAUAAAAUUGGUUGCAAUGUCACCAAAACCCGAGAAACUAAAUAAUCAUUCACCAAUAUUGUUACCAAUGAUGUCACCAUAACCAGAUGUGCCAAGAUUUCUUAAGGAACUUUAUUGAAGAUAGUAAAACAUAAAAAUCUAUUUUAAAAGCAUACCCUCAAA
Molecule: long non-coding RNA, 475 nt
Filed under: Cicer arietinum (chickpea)
Lineage: Eukaryota; Viridiplantae; Streptophyta; Magnoliopsida; Fabales; Fabaceae
Description: long non-coding RNA (CARI_LNC002944)
Source: RNAcentral